RNAcentral lists this ribosomal RNA (1206 nucleotides) under Ugyops sp. APL-2018. Its description in RNAcentral is "16S ribosomal RNA". Lineage: Eukaryota; Metazoa; Arthropoda; Insecta; Hemiptera; Delphacidae. The record is from RNAcentral.
AUAACUUUUUUUUUUUUUUUUUUUUUUUUUUUCUAUUAAAAUUUAUUUUUUUGUUUAAUUUUUAUUUUUAAAAAUUUUUUAAUGAUUUUACUGUGAGGGUUUGAUUUUAAUUACUUUAAAGUAAAUAUUUUUUUUGUACCUUUUGUAUCAGGGUUAAUUAAUUUUUUUUUUGUAUGAAGUUUUCUCGAAAUUUUAAGAUCUCAAUUUAAUUGUGUUUUAUUGUUAUAUAAUUAUUUUUUAAUUAUUUUGAGUUCUGAUAUGGAAUUCAUUUAUUAUUAUAUCUAGUUUCUUUGAAUUGAAGUUUAAUUUUGGAUUAAUUUUUAAUUUUUUUUUUUUUUUUUUUUUUUUUUAAUCUUAAUUUAUUUGGGUUAAUCUUGAUAUUUACUUUAUAAUUUUUUUUUGUUGAAAUUUUGUAGGUUUAGAAUCUUCUAUCAUUUAAAGUUCGUUUAAGAUUUUUUUUUUUUUUACUUUUUAUUUAUUUUUAUACAUUGAUUUUUUAAUAAGCUAUUUUUUUUAUUUAUAAUGAUUAAAUUAGUAAAUUUUCAAAUUUUUUAUAUGAACUAGGCAAUUUUUAUUUUUUGCCUGUUUAUCAAAAACAUGUUCUUUAGAUUUUAUUUAAGGUUUCGCCUGCUCAAUGAUUAUUUUUAAAUAGCCGCGGUAAUUUAACUGUGCUAAGGUAGCAUAAUAAUUAGUCUUUUAAUUGAGGUCUUGUAUGAAUGGUUGGACAAGAAAAUCUCUUUAUUUAAUUUAUUUUUUUAAUUUAAUUUUAUAGUUAAAAAGCUUUAAUUUUUAAUUGGGACGAUAAGACCCUGUAGAUCUUUAAAAUUAUUAUUUAAUAUUUUUUUUUGUUUAUUUAAUUUUUAUUUUCUUUUAAUUUUUUAGUUGGGGUGAUUUUUAAAUUUUUAUAACUUUAUUUUUUUUUUACAUUUAUUUAUGUAUAUUUGAUCCUUUAGUUUUGAUUUUUAGAUUAAGAUACCUCAGGGAUAACAGCGUUUAUUUUUUGGAAAGUUCUUAUUGAUAAUUAAAUUGCGACCUCGAUGUUGGAUUAAUAUAAGUUUUUGGUGUAGAUGAUAUUUAACUAGGUCUGUUCGACCUUUAAAAUUUUACAUGAUCUGAGUUCAAAUCGGCGUGAGCCAGAUUGGUUUCUAUCUAUUUAUUUUUUUAUUUGAUUAGUACGAAAGGACUUUUGAAUUAAUAAUAUUUAUU